GGCCGGUGGACCAUCAAAGCUUGGGUGACUGCAAAGACUGAAAUCAAACGGUACAGUAAUCCUAGAGGGGAGGGAAAGCUAUUCUCCUUUGACCUUCUUGAUUCUGAGGGCGGAGAAAUACGUGUAACUUGCUUCAACAUGGCAGCUGACCAGUUCUAUGAGCAAAUUGAGAAUGGAAAAGCAUACUUAAUAUCUCAAGGAAGUGUUAAGCCUGCACGAAAG
RNAcentral lists this unclassified non-coding RNA (222 nucleotides) under Hevea brasiliensis (rubber tree). The record is from RNAcentral. Lineage: Eukaryota; Viridiplantae; Streptophyta; Magnoliopsida; Malpighiales; Euphorbiaceae.